AACCAUAGAAACCUGCGGAGUACCUGCGGAGGGAUCAUUACCGAGUUUACAACUCCCAAACCCCUGUGAACAUACCAAUUGUUGCCUCGGCGGAUCAGCCCGCUCCCGGUAAAACGGGACGGCCCGCCAGAGGACCCCUAAACUCUGUUUCUAUAUGUAACUUCUGAGUAAAACCAUAAAUAAAUCAAAACUUUCAACAACGGAUCU
Molecule: unclassified non-coding RNA, 207 nt
Filed under: soil metagenome
Description: partial contains 5.8S ribosomal RNA, internal transcribed spacer 2, and large subunit ribosomal RNA
Source: RNAcentral